UUUAUAUGCAUACGUGAAAAAAUAAAUGAGAAUCUCCAAGCGUUCCAAACUGGUAUCUAAGAAUGGAUUUUGUCACCUCAAGUCCUGUCUGAUGUGCUGAAGUUCAAUUUUUUGUCUCUCCAGCACUACCAAACUGCUGAAAUCUUUAGGCCACUGAUUUAUGCUUCACCUUUAUACUCCUGGCUUUCUCUCUCCAGGUCCUCAGCCUAGGACCUGACUGAGAGAUAGGCCAGUCUGCUCUCAGACUGAUGGUCUGUGGCCUGCCAGCACCAUAGACAAGACUUCAGGGAAGCUGCUUAUCAGCCAAAUAACUGCAGAGGCUCCUUGGAUUCCAAGAACCUCUAAGGAGUAUGAGAUGUCUGGAAGCUUUUGGACAAGAUUGCAUAAACCCACCUCACCAUCGUGCUUACACACAGACUACUUCUAAUCCAUACGCACACAUACACACAGUUCACUUACAAUUAAACUCACCUAGCAAGAAGCUAAG
Molecule: long non-coding RNA, 487 nt
Filed under: Equus asinus (donkey)
Lineage: Eukaryota; Metazoa; Chordata; Mammalia; Perissodactyla; Equidae
Description: lncRNA (ENSEASG00005035124.1)
Source: RNAcentral